UAUGUGAUCGUCUCUCGCAUAUCAAUAAGCGGAGGAAAAGAAACUGAACAAGGAUUCCCCUAGUAACGGCGAGUGAAGCGGGAAGAGCUCAAAUUUGAAAUCUUAAAGGGUUUCCCUUUACGAAUUGUAGUUUAAAGAAGUGUUUUCUGUUGAGGUUUUGGUAAAAAGUUCUUUGGAAUAGGACAUCAUAGAGGGGUGAGAAUCCCGUAUUUGACCUUUACUUUCAACUUUGUGAUACACUUUCAAAGAGUCGGAUUGUUUGGGAAUGCAGUCCAAAAUGGGUGGUAAAUUUCAUCUAAAGCUAAAUAUUGGCGAGAGACCGAUAGCGAACAAGUAGCCGUGAGGGAAAGAUGAAAAGAACUUUGAAAAGAGAGUUAAACAGUACGUGAAAUUGUCAAAAGGGAAGCGUUUGACACCAGUGUUGUUUUUUCUGAAAAUCAAUUAAAGAACUGUUUAUGCUAAGUUGUUUAGACUUUAUCAGCUAACUGUUUAGUUUUGAGCUUUUCUUUAAUGCACUUUUCAGUUAACAAGUCAACAUCAAUUUCUUUUGCUGUAAAAAAAGCUUGAGGAAGGUGGCUUGAGAUUCGUCUUAAGUGUUUAUAGCCUCUUGCCUAUGCAGUCGGAGAGAUUGAGGUCUGCAGCGUAGAUCCUUCGGGGCUAAAUGCAUUUGUGCUAAGUUAUAGCAUUUUAUAGACAACUUGUUGACUAUGAUUUGUCUUUGUAGCUUACUCGCUUAUGUUAUUUUACCUACGCUUAGGAUGUUGAUCUGUAGUGCGUGCGC
Molecule: ribosomal RNA, 781 nt
Filed under: uncultured Neocallimastigales
Lineage: Eukaryota; Fungi; Neocallimastigomycota; Neocallimastigomycetes; Neocallimastigales
Description: partial large subunit ribosomal RNA
Rfam family: Eukaryotic large subunit ribosomal RNA
Source: RNAcentral